RNAcentral lists this ribosomal RNA (596 nucleotides) under uncultured bacterium. Its description in RNAcentral is "bacterial SSU rRNA". It matches the Rfam family "Bacterial small subunit ribosomal RNA", at positions 331 to 917 of the family's 1533-position model. The record is from RNAcentral.
UUCGAUUCCUACGGGAGGCAGCAGUGGGGAAUAUUGCACAAUGGGCGCAAGCCUGAUGCAGCAACGCCGCGUGGGUGAAGAAGGCUCUUGGGUCGUAAAGCCCUUUCGGCAGAGAAGAAGGGCACAGAUUCGAAUAGGGUUUGUGUUUGACGGUAUCUGCAUAAGAAGCACCGGCUAAUCUCGUGCCAGCAGCCGCGGUAAUACGAAAGGUGCAAGCGUUGUUCGGAAUAACUGGGCGUAAAGCGCUCGUAGGCGGGAAUUCAGGUCGAUUGUGAAAGCCCAGAGCUCAACUUUGGAAUUGCAGUCGAAACCGAAUUUCUUGAAUACUCGAGAGGGUGGGGGAAUUCCUAGUGGAGAAGUGAAAUUCGUAGAGAUUAGGAGGAACACCAGAGGCGAAGGCGCCUACCUGGCGAUGUAUUGACGCUGAGGAGCGAAAGUGUGGGGAGCAAACAGGAUUAGAUACCCUGGUAGUCCACACCGUAAACGAUGGAUACUAGGCGUUUGGAGAGUUAACCCUCUGAGCGCCGCAGUUCACACAUUAAGUAUCCCGCCUGGGGAGUACGGUCGCAAGGCUAAAACUCAAAGGAAUUGACGGA